CUACGGGGUGCUGCAGUGGGGAAUAUUGCACAAUGGACGAAAGUCUGAUGCAGCAACGCCGCGUGGAGGAUGACACAUUUCGGUGCGUAAACUCCUUUUAUAUAAGAAGAUAAUGACGGUAUUAUAUGAAUAAGCACCGGCUAACUCCGUGCCAGCAGCCGCGGUAAUACGGAGGGUGCAAGCGUUACUCGGAAUCACUGGGCGGAAAGAGCGUGUAGGCGGAUAGAUAAGUUGGAAGUGAAAUCCUAUGGCUCAACCAUAGAACUGCUUCCAAAACUGUCUAUCUAGAAUAUGGGAGAGGUAGAUGGAAUUUCUGGUGUAGGGGUAAAAUCCGUAGAGAUCAGAAGGAGUACCGAUUGCGAAGGCGUUCUACUGGAACAUUAUUGACGCUGAGACGCGAAAGCGUGGGGAGCAAACAGGAUUAGAUACCCCAGUAGUC
Molecule: ribosomal RNA, 439 nt
Filed under: uncultured bacterium
Lineage: Bacteria
Description: partial 16S ribosomal RNA
Rfam family: Bacterial small subunit ribosomal RNA
Source: RNAcentral